This 366-nucleotide long non-coding RNA is filed under the name Homo sapiens (human). Its description in RNAcentral is "HSALNT0378607". The record is from RNAcentral. Lineage: Eukaryota; Metazoa; Chordata; Mammalia; Primates; Hominidae.
CUCCCCAAAUGGAAGAGAACCAGGAUUGGAGUGGAGAAUUGCCGAUGUACAAGUGAUGUGGCAUUUGGUUCAAUUCUAAGCCAUCAGGCCACUUGUUGACAUGACCUAGAGAAGAUGGAAGUGAAACACCGAGUCAUUAAACAGGGACCCCAAAAUGCCGAAUUGACGUGAUCUGGCUGGGUCCACUGUGAUGCGGGGAAUCACCCGUCAGCCCCUUGCUGGAUCGCUGUGAGGGGUACCUGGGAAGUGCUUGGCUUUCAUGGGGCUGGUACUUAGCAUCCUGAAGAAGAUGGUGAUUAUACUAGAUGGGCGGUUAUUGCUAGGACUUGCAGGUGUGCUUGGCAAAUGUCACUCUGAACUGAGCUG